CCGCCCCGAAUUGUAGUCUAGAAAGGCGCCAUCGGCAGCGUCCGUCGCUUAAGUUCCUUGGAAUAGGAGAGACGGAGAAGGUGAGAUCCCUGUACCGUGGCGGAUCGCUGCCGCACGAUGCGUUCUUGCAGAGUCGGGUUGCUUGGGAUUGCAGCUUGAAUUGGGUGGUAAAUUCCAUCUAAAGCUAAAUAUUGGCUCAUGACCGAUAGCGAACAAGUACCGUGAGGGAAAGAUGCAAAGAACUUUGAAAAGAGAGUUAAAGAGUGCUUGAAAUCGGCAAGAGGAAACCCGGUUGCGCCCGGUUUUGCGUGACAUUUUCACCGUUUCGAAGCGGUUCACUGUGGAUCGCAGGGUCCAACGCGACUGCUGAUGCUUCAUAAUCUCUGAGGGGGCCUCUGGUGAGCUCAGUGACUGUGGCGUUGGCGGUCCCGUUGGACGGAACGGGCGCAACCGACCCGUCUAGAAACACGGACCAAGGAGUCUGACACGGAUGCGAGUACCCGGGUGGCAAGCCCGCGUGCGCAAUGAAAGUGAAGGGCGUGCCCCGCCAACCGACCUUGAUCUUCUGUGAAGGGUUUGAGUCGAGCAUCACUGUCGGGACCCGAAAGAUGGUGAACUAUGCCUGAGGAGGUUGAAGCCUGACGAAAGUCAGGUGGAGGACCGUAGCGAUACUGACGUGCAAAUCGUUCGUCGAACUUGGGUAUAGGGGCGAAAGACUAAUCGAACCAUCUAGUAGCUGGUUCCCUCCGAAGUUUCCCUCAGGAUAGCUUGGACGCAAGGGUUUUGU
This 787-nucleotide ribosomal RNA is filed under the name Haptophyta environmental samples. Its description in RNAcentral is "eukaryotic LSU rRNA". It matches the Rfam family "Eukaryotic large subunit ribosomal RNA", at positions 133 to 1004 of the family's 3401-position model. The record is from RNAcentral. Lineage: Eukaryota; Haptophyta.